Vespula pensylvanica (western yellowjacket) is the source of this 1417-nucleotide long non-coding RNA. RefSeq lists it as uncharacterized. NCBI's taxonomy places the organism in Eukaryota, Metazoa, Arthropoda, Insecta, Hymenoptera, Vespidae. The transcript has 4 exons. The record is from RefSeq and is a predicted model, not a curated record.
UUCAACUUUUAUUUUCAUAUAUUAAUUACUUCGCUUGUUUAAUUUUGUUAAAAACAUAUCUGUGUAAUAUAUAAAUAUAAAUUUAUCGUUAUUUUCUUACUUUAAAAUUGUUAUUAUCAUCUUUGUUCAACCUAACGAACAUAAAAAUAUGCAGAAGUCAAAGAACACGGAGAAAAGCAGAGCUCUUCUUGGAUCACUCGAGUUGAGUGAAAGAAGAAAGAGAAAAAGAAGAAGAAUUCAAAGAGGACAUGGAAGGAGAGCUACCUAAAGUAGAAAACGAUGUUAUCAGGAUGAUGAAAGAGAGUCGGGCCGGUAGCGGAGUUUAAGAAUAAUUGAAAGUUAUGAUUGCCGUUCUCUUCGCUAGCAAGAAGUGCAUCCGAUGUGCUGUCAACGGGAUCCCGUGGGACGCGAUGAGAUUUUGCGUGACCAAACGAAUAACGACGCCAACGACGACGACGACGAUGACGACGACGACGACGACGGCGACGGCGACGGCGACGACGACGACGGCGACAACGACAACUACGACGAUGACGAAGAUCUUUGCUUAGGAGCUUCCGCCUACGAGCAAUCUCGAGACAUCAAUAGGAAAAAAAGUGCAAAGCGAUUCUUUGGAGAAAAUAUACUCGCAUUCGUUUUCUUCUCAACGACCGAUGACGUCUCUCUCGAAAGCAUUGUCACGAGAAUUUCGUGGAGUAAGUACUACGAAAAUAACUCUGCUCUUUUUCUCCUUCCUCUUUCACUUUCUCUUUCUUUCUCUUUACAACGUGGAUAUAUCCGUACAUCGUAGAAACGAACUUUAUGCGUUUCGUAAUACUUCUCACUUCUCCAUUUAUACGACGAGCAACAAAUUGCAAAGAAAAGGAAAAGGACUAACUGAGAUAAACUUAAACAUUUCAUUUGAUCGUUCAAACGAUUCUAAAUGAUUUAAUAUGAAUCAUUAUUUGUUUGUUAAUAACAGUCACUUCGUCAUGAUGUUUCUUCAAUCUCCAUCUUCAGCUCUUACUAAUUUUCUAUCUCUAUCAUUCACCAGAAUGGUCUGGGUGCUUUCGUGACACUCGUAGGAAAAUCUGAUUACCGGAAACUUCUCGUCAUGGGUCGAAAACUUCGAAGGAAAAUUUACCGAGCCUUCCUUCCUUCACCGACUAGAGAAAAUUAGUUUAGACCAGACGGAUUAGCCCUUUGCACUGGAAGUACUCCUCUCAGACACAGAUAAUAUUUGACGUUGUACUCGAAGCGUGUCUUCUCAGGCAUAUUGCUAAUAUACUGCAAUAAAGAAUCGAUAUAUAUUGUGAUUUAUAAUUAAAAUCUUCUAUUCUGUAAUUGACAAGAGAAUUUUUGAAGAAGACAUCAUUUCCGUAAAUAGCCAAAAUCAGUUCAAGUGUUGUAAUAUUUAGCUAAAAUAAAGUUCGAAUGC